Poeciliopsis prolifica (blackstripe livebearer) is the source of this 1179-nucleotide long non-coding RNA. RefSeq lists it as uncharacterized. The record is from RefSeq and is a predicted model, not a curated record. NCBI's taxonomy places the organism in Eukaryota, Metazoa, Chordata, Actinopteri, Cyprinodontiformes, Poeciliidae. The transcript is spliced from 4 exons.
UUCAAUAUCAAUAUUUGUCAAAGUUAAUCUAAUAAAAAAAAACACAGUGACGUCAGUUCCAAAGCGCUAUUGUGUCAGACUCAUCUCCCGCUGAAGAGGAUCCAGCGACAUCAAGAGAUUACGGAAAAUCACGCGAGAUAACUGGCUUGCACCUUGUUGGGUUUUUUCAAGGGCAGAGGGGAGAUUCCUGGCGUGCAUCUACUUAAUUUGAAGAAGAACAUCACCUGUCUGUAAUCCACCUGCGUAAGUACUGGUCAAGGGGCUCAUCGGCUAUCAAGUUAUAGAUUUCAGUGGCUAAUAGAAGACACUGCUGAGGUCAGACGAGAGUGCAUCCUCAAAUGUCUGUGUGUACCUAAAUGAAGAUCCAGAGAAGCUGGUGAGGGAGUACAUGGACGUUGAUGAAUGAAAUGGCCAAAGCCGAGACUGUCCUCGGAAUCGUCAUUUGAGCAGAGGCUGCCGAUGCACAUCUGGAUGUUGGGAUUGUCCUGGAGGAGGUGGAAGUUAUGAACAGCUUGGGCAGUGUAUCUUCUGCAAUAGUGAUGCUGCUGGGACUAAUCUACGCACUAAACUUGAGCUACCCUCAAGUUUAGUGCGUUCAGCACUCAACUUGCUCAGUAACUCAAGCAUACCUUUGAAGUAAUACAGAAAAUAAUAAUGAAAUUGGAUGGAAAGAACUUAUCAAAGAAAGCACAAGUUCUCAAUAUGAAACUCGCUGCUAAGUUGAGUAAAGUUUCAUAUGGAAAAUGAGUGUUUAAAGUCUGCAGUAGAAAAGAUUUAUAUUGUUACAGUUCUCUAAGUUGAGCAACUAUACUGACAUGUUUUAUGUUGUAAAGAAUUGGCUGGGAAAUGAAACUGUAACCUUUUUGUAGUUGUUUUUUUAUUUCAAUGUCCAACUCAGCUGUGUUUUGUGCUGUGUAAAAAAAUGAUGUAUAACAAUUCUGAAAAUACAAUUGUGUUGUACCUUUUCUAAUUGUUGAGUGUUCUUCCUACACUUUCACCUAGUGCUAUCUUAAAAUGCUUGAUUAACGCUUGAAAAUAUGUCUUUGAAUUAACGUCAUGAAAUAAUGGAAAGGAUUUCCACAUGAUUAACUAGCUGUCUUUUAGCAUGAAGCAUAUUUGUUGAGCUAACUUGCUUUUAGUGAGUUGGACCUACUGAAUCAGGUAGUGUGAAGGUACCAC